AUGCGAAGGUCCCAGCAGGGAGGCGAGUACUCUUCUCGUUGAGGCCUCUCUAACAAUCAAAUUCUAUACCCUUCGCAUAGUUAUUCGCCGAAUCGUAGGAUGCCCAAAUUUUCUUCAAUUUUGGUGCGUCUUGAACCCUCGGCUAUAUCUUA
Molecule: small nucleolar RNA, 152 nt
Filed under: Phaseolus vulgaris (common bean)
Lineage: Eukaryota; Viridiplantae; Streptophyta; Magnoliopsida; Fabales; Fabaceae
Description: snoRNA snoR145
Rfam family: Small nucleolar RNA snoR145
Source: Rfam by way of RNAcentral